Molecule: ribosomal RNA, 397 nt
Filed under: uncultured bacterium
Lineage: Bacteria
Description: partial 16S ribosomal RNA
Rfam family: Bacterial small subunit ribosomal RNA
Source: RNAcentral
AUACGUAGGGGGCGAGCGUUGUCCGGAAUGAUUGGGCGUAAAGGGCGCGUAGGCGGCGCGGUAAGUCUGGAGUGAAAGUCCUGCUUUCAAGGUGGGAAUUGCUUUGGAGACUGGUUGGCUUGAGUGCGGAAGAGGUAAGUGGAAUUCCCAGUGUAGCGGUGAAAUGCGUAGAGAUUGGGAGGAACACCAGUGGCGAAGGCGACUUACUGGGCCGUAACUGACGCUGAGGCGCGAAAGCGUGGGGAGCGAACAGGAUUAGAUACCCUGGUAGUCCACGCGGUAAACGAUGAAUGCUAGGUGUAGGGGGUAUCGACCCCUCCUGUGCCGGAGUGAACACAAUAAGCAUUCCGCCUGGGGAGUACGGCCGCAAGGUUGGAACUCAAAUGAAUUGGCGGGG